UACGUAGGGUGCAAGCGUUGUCCGGAAUUAUUGGGCGUAAAGAGCUCGUAGGCGGUCUGUCGCGUCUGCUGUGAAAACUCAGGGCUUAACCCUGAGCUUGCAGUGGGUACGGGCAGACUAGAGUGCGGUAGGGGAGACUGGAAUUCCUGGUGUAGCGGUGAAAUGCGCAGAUAUCAGGAGGAACACCGGUGGCGAAGGCGGGUCUCUGGGCCGUAACUGACGCUGGAGGAGCG
RNAcentral lists this ribosomal RNA (233 nucleotides) under uncultured bacterium. RNAcentral's name for it is "partial 16S ribosomal RNA". It matches the Rfam family "Bacterial small subunit ribosomal RNA", at positions 524 to 755 of the family's 1533-position model. The record is from RNAcentral.